GACGAACGCUGGCGGCGUGCUUAACACAUGCGAGUCGAACGGAAAGGCCCUGCUUUUGUGGGGUGCUCGAGUGGCGAACGGGUGAGUAACACGUGAGUAACCUGCCCUUGACUUUGGGAUAACUUCAGGAAACUGGGGCUAAUACCGGAUAGGAGCUCCUGCUGCAUGGUGGGGGGUGGAAAGUUUCGGCGGUUGGGGAUGGACUCGCGGCUUAUCAGCUUGUUGGUGGGGUAGUGGCUUACCAAGGCUUUGACGGGUAGCCGGCCUGAGAGGGUGACCGGCCACAUUGGGACUGAGAUACGGCCCAGACUCCUACGGGAGGCAGCAGUGGGGAAUAUUGCACAAUGGGCGGAAGCCUGAUGCAGCAACGCCGCGUGCGGGAUGACGGCCUUCUGGUUGUAAACCGCUUUCGCCUGUGACGAAGCGUGAGUGACGGUAAUGGGUAAAGAAGCACCGGCUAACUACGUG
RNAcentral lists this ribosomal RNA (468 nucleotides) under uncultured bacterium. RNAcentral describes it as "partial 16S ribosomal RNA". It matches the Rfam family "Bacterial small subunit ribosomal RNA", at positions 28 to 507 of the family's 1533-position model. The record is from RNAcentral.